UACGUAGGUGGCAAGCGUUGUCCGGAAUUAUUGGGCGUAAAGGGCGCGCAGGCGGUCCUUUAAGUCUGAUGUGAAAGCCCACGGCUCAACCAUGGAAUGGCAUUGGAAACUGGAGGACUUGAGUGCAGAAGAGGAAAGUGGAAUUCCAUGUGUAGCGGUGAAAUGCGUAGAGAUGUGGAGGAACACCAGUGGCGAAGGCGACUUUCUGGUCUGUAACUGACGCUGAGGCGCGAAAGCGAGGGGAGCAAACAGG
This 253-nucleotide unclassified non-coding RNA is filed under the name uncultured Caryophanaceae bacterium. Its description in RNAcentral is "uncultured Planococcaceae bacterium contains 16S-23S intergenic spacer region". It matches the Rfam family "Bacterial small subunit ribosomal RNA", at positions 524 to 776 of the family's 1533-position model. The record is from RNAcentral. Lineage: Bacteria; Bacillati; Bacillota; Bacilli; Caryophanales; Caryophanaceae.